GCGGGUGUAGCUCAGAUGGCUUAGAGCAGGGAGCUUUUAACUCUCAGGUCACUGGUUCGAGUCCAGUUACCCGCACCA
Molecule: transfer RNA, 78 nt
Filed under: Vibrio vulnificus
Lineage: Bacteria; Pseudomonadati; Pseudomonadota; Gammaproteobacteria; Vibrionales; Vibrionaceae
Description: tRNA-Lys
Rfam family: tRNA
About the family: Transfer RNA (tRNA) molecules are approximately 80 nucleotides in length. Their secondary structure includes four short double-helical elements and three loops (D, anti-codon, and T loops).
Source: RNAcentral